Molecule: ribosomal RNA, 250 nt
Filed under: uncultured Varibaculum sp.
Lineage: Bacteria; Bacillati; Actinomycetota; Actinomycetes; Actinomycetales; Actinomycetaceae
Description: partial 16S ribosomal RNA
Rfam family: Bacterial small subunit ribosomal RNA
Source: RNAcentral
UACGUAGGGCGCGAGCGUUGUCCGGAAUUAUUGGGCGUAAAGGGCUUGUAGGUGGCUGGUUGCGUCUGUCGUGAAAGCUCAUGGCUUAACUGUGGGUUUGCGGUGGGUACGGGCUGGCUUGAGUGCAGUAGGGGAGGCUGGAAUUCCUGGUGUAGCGGUGGAAUGCGCAGAUAUCAGGAGGAAUACCGGUGGCGAAGGCGGGUCUCUGGGCUGUUACUGACACUGAGGAGCGAAAGCAUGGGGAGCGAAC